RNAcentral lists this ribosomal RNA (497 nucleotides) under uncultured bacterium. RNAcentral describes it as "partial 16S ribosomal RNA". It matches the Rfam family "Bacterial small subunit ribosomal RNA", at positions 28 to 507 of the family's 1533-position model. The record is from RNAcentral.
GAUGAACGCUGGCGGCGUGCCUAAUACAUGCAAGUCGAGCGAACAGACGCGGAGCUUGCUCCUCUGACGUUAGCGGCGGACGGGUGAGUAACACGUGGAUAACCUACCUAUAAGACUGGGAUAACUUCGGGAAACCGGAGCUAAUACCGGAUAAUAUAUUGAACCGCAUGGUUCAAUAGUGAAAGACGGUUUUGCUGUCACUUAUAGAUGGAUCCGCGCCGCAUUAGCUAGUUGGUAAGGUAACGGCUUACCAAGGCGACGAUGCGUAGCCGACCUGAGAGGGUGAUCGGCCACACUGGAACUGAGACACGGACCAGACUCCUACGGGAGGCAGCAGUAGGGAAUCUUCCGCAAUGGGCGAAAGCCUGACGGAGCAACGCCGCGUGAGUGAUGAAGGUCUUCGGAUCGUAAAACUCUGUUAUUAGGGAAGAACAAAUGUGUAAGUAACUAUGCACGUCUUGACGGUACCUAAUCAGAAAGCCACGGCUAACUACGUG